GGGUUACUGCAGUUGAACAGGACAUGUUUUUCAUUCUAUCAGUGUAGUGUGUUUACUUCUAAAGUGGGUCUCUUGUAUAAAAUAUAUAAUUGAACCUUAGGUUUUAAGUUUAUUCUUCCAAGCUGUAUCUUCUAUGUGGUACUUUAAUCCAUUGGCAAAGUAACUACUAUAACUUAAAGGAAAGGGCUCACUGUUGCCAUUUUGGGUUUUUUUUUAUGUUUUCCAGUUUUUUGUCCUUCAUUUCUUCUUUUACUGUUUUUUUUUUUGUGUAGUUUAAAUGUCUUGUUUGAUUUACUUUCAAUUCUUUUGUAAUUGUAUAUGUGAUUUUUAUGAGGUUUACGUGAAACAUCCUAAAGUUACAGCAGUUUAUUUUAAACUAAUAGUUUCAAUCACAUACAAAGCUUCUUCUCUUUAUAGUUCUAGCCCUCUUUUUUACAUUAUCAAUGUUACAAAUAGCAUAUAAUGUGUGUCCAAUAACAAGUUUAUAACUUUUUAUGCUUUUCUAUUUUAAAUACUGUUAAGGAAUAAAAAGAAUUGUGAACCAAAAUUACAAUGAUGGCAGUUUUUCUAUUUGUGUGUUUAUUAUUAUAAGAAAAUUUAUAUUCUUAUGUGGCUUUGAGUUUAUGCUUAGUAUCUUUUCUUUACAACUUGAAGAAUUCCCUUCUGCAUUUCCUAUAAGGUAGGUCUGGGUAAUGAAUUUAACUACCUCUGCUUUCUUCAUUUAUUUCUCCCUCAUUAAAAAAUACAUUAUUUCAUAUAUGUGUGAUAUAUGUAUGCAAGGGCACUGCAUAGCACAUAUAUAAGUCAGAGGACAACUUUGGAGAAUCCGUUAUCUUCUACCUUUCAUGGAUUCUAGGGCUUGAACGCGUUCUGUCAGGCUGGCACAGUAAACACAUUACCUGCUGAACCCAGCAGCCCUCUGUUUUACCAGUCCUCUCACUCAUUGUUCAAGACCAGUUAUUGUAUGACAGUUUUCCUGGGAAGACAUAACAUCCACAUGUCUAAACACCACAAAUAGGGAGCUCAUGGCAAACCAAAUAUGGAUGCCAUUGAAGUCCAACUUGGUAAACCAAUGAGUUUUCAUGGGGUUACUUACAGGAGGAGAAAUGAUUCAAAGACAGCUGCAUCACCAAAGCCUACCCAGCAUGAACGACAGCUCACAAAAGCUGGAAAACUCAACAGGUUAGAGAGUGUCCUUACGAGAUACCUCAGUUGGUCUAAGGCCCUUCCAAGCAGCUCAGCCCGUCUCUGCUUCCUCCAUAAAGCUGCUCUAGUCUGUCUUCUUUGCAGCUUGUCUCAUCUGAGAGUGACACUCAACCAACUUUAUGCCUGGGAUGGAAGGGACUAGUAAAUCUGGUUAGUGUCAGGACUUCCUGAAGCUCUUUUGAGUUACUUACUUUCUGUUUUAAGGAGCUUCCCUGGGAGAUGUAAUGUGUCAAUCUCACCCAAAAGUCUAGGGCAUUUAAAUACGUGAUCUGCAGUUGGUGGUUGUUUGUGGAAAUUUAAAAGUGUGACCUUGCUAGAAGUAUAUUAUUGGAGGUGGGCUUUGAGGUUUCAAAAGACUCAUGCCAUUUUGAGUUAUCACCUUCUGUUUCCUGCUCUGGUUCAAGAUGUGCAGCUUUCAGCUGCUGCUCAUGUCUGCCACCUGCUGUCUUCACUCUGUCAUCAUGGACUCCAACCCUCUGAAACCGUAAGCCCAAAGUAAACCUCUUAUAAGUUGCCUUGAUUAUGGUGUUUUAUCACAGCAAUAGAAAAGUAACGAAUAUAGAAGUUGGUACCAGGAGUGGGAUAUUACUAUGACAGACUUGACCAUGUGGUUUGGGGAGCAUUGUAGAAGGCUUUGGAACUUUGGAUGAGAAAAACCAUUGAAUGCUGUAAGCAGAGCUUAAUGGUCCAUUCUAGUAGGAGCUUGCAAGAAAGUGCUUAAAGCAGCGUGGACUAUAGUGGCCUACCUCAAAAGAGUUUUCAGAGGGGAACAAUAUAAGCAGCUGAACUGUGGAAACCAUUCUUACAAUAUUUGACAAAGACUAUGGUCGCUUUCUGCCGUUUUCCUAAGAACUUACCUGAGGUUAAAGUUGAGUAGUAGUCUAAUGUCAUUGACAGAGAUUUCAAGACAGCCUAAUACUAACUCUGUUUUAUGGUUAUUAGGAAUUAUCAUUUUUGCAGGUCUACAGUGAAGAGCAAAUAGGGCAGAAAGAAAUAUAAAGUGUAGAGUUUGGAGAGGAAGAGGAUACUGGCAAGGUUAAUGUUACAACUGAGGCUUGUGCUGGAAGAGAGACCAAAACUGUUAAGGGUGGCCAAAUCUGCAUUUGAAUGGACAGAAGGCUGUCUUCAGGGCGAGACCCCACUCAGCUGAAUUUCAACUUGUGAAAGGAAGACCUAAGGAAUUAACAAAAACUGUUUACAAAUAUGACUCAAAGGCACCAGGAUUCAUGCCAAGUUGAUAACCAAACCUUGACAGUAUCAGCCAUCCACUUCUGGCAUCAGAGUCAUAAAGGAUACACAAGAAAAUGGGUUGUGGAAUCUUCCUCCACAGUUAAGGAGAGCCACUUGGCCCAGGCAUGUAGAAGUAAAGUCUGGGUUGCAUUGAUGACCACAAGAUGUUAGAGGUGCCAGAGCCAUGGAUAUCUGCCAAGGAGAACAUCAUACAAAAGUUGGAACCCACCCUGAGCAGAGAGAUCCAUCUUACAGGCAGCAAAGCCAUAUAAGUCCUUUGACAUCAGACAUGGAACUCCAGGAUUUGGAGGGGGUUCCAGUUAAAAGAUUGCUUUGAGUCUCAGAAACUUUGGACUUUUAAAGUGUAUUGAGACUGGAAGACUAUGGAGACUUUUGAGGUUUGACUAAAUGCACUUUGCAUUAUGAUAUGGCCAGGGAGAGGAAUGUGGUGGUUUCAAUGAGAUUUCCCUCAUAAGCUGAAGGCAUUUGAAUACUUGGUCCAUAGUUGGUGGCUAUCUCUGGAGGGUGUGACCUUCCUUGAAGAAGUAUAGCACUGGGAGUGGACUUUGAGGUUUUAAAAGAUUGAUACCAUUUUGAAUUAGCUCUCUUGUUUCCUGUUUGCAGAUCAAGAUGUGAGCUCAGUUGCUGCUCCUGCCUGCCGCGUGCUACCUUCACUCUGCCAUUGUGGAUUUUAAUCCUCUGGAGCUGUAAACCCCAAAUAAACUCUUGUCUUGGU
This is a long non-coding RNA of Arvicola amphibius (Eurasian water vole), 3172 nucleotides long. RefSeq lists it as uncharacterized. The record is from RefSeq and is a predicted model, not a curated record. Lineage: Eukaryota; Metazoa; Chordata; Mammalia; Rodentia; Cricetidae. The transcript is spliced from 2 exons.